ACACCAUGGGAGUGGGUUGCAAAAGAAGUAGGUAGCUUAACCUUCGGGAGGGCGCUUACCACUUUGUGAUUCAUGACUGGGGUGAAGUCGUAACAAGGUAACCGUAGGGGAACCUGCGGUUGGAUCACCUCCUUACCUAAAGA
RNAcentral lists this ribosomal RNA (143 nucleotides) under Serratia marcescens. Its description in RNAcentral is "partial 16S ribosomal RNA". It matches the Rfam family "Bacterial small subunit ribosomal RNA", at positions 1399 to 1533 of the family's 1533-position model. The record is from RNAcentral. Lineage: Bacteria; Pseudomonadati; Pseudomonadota; Gammaproteobacteria; Enterobacterales; Yersiniaceae.